This 528-nucleotide small RNA is filed under the name Arabidopsis thaliana (thale cress). RNAcentral describes it as "ATSL012080". Lineage: Eukaryota; Viridiplantae; Streptophyta; Magnoliopsida; Brassicales; Brassicaceae. The record is from RNAcentral.
AAUCGAUUUCAAGGUUUCUGUAAAUAAAUAAAUACAAAUUGAAGAAGAAGAACGAUGGAGAAGAAGCAUGAACAAUGAAACAGGGGCAAAUCGUAAGUUGGCAUAUCUGAAAGUUUCUUUUUUCAAAUCCCAUCUCAAAAAUGGUUACCGAGAGGAAGCAAAUGUUUUUGGUCGACGGAGUAACGUGGUGGUGGUGGUCGAGAAAGAAGAAAGAAGGAGAUGAUACAGAUGACAGGGGUAAAACAGUCUUUUUCCCUAGCACAAAGUACUCUUUUUCAAAAUCCAACACAGAAAAACCUAAAUUCAAAGAUUUGGCAAAAAAAAGCCCUGUUUUGACAAUAAACCCUUUAAUUAGUUGAAACAAUUAUAGAAAUAAAAGGAAUAUUUGGCCACAAAAUAAAUAAAUAGUUUUAGCAAAGGUGUGUUUUCCCCUGUGCAUUACUCAAUCAUAAAUUUUACAAAAAUUUAUAGUCAAUGAGAUCCAUAAGAAUACAGAGAAAUUUUGAAUUGGUUAGAAAUAUGUUUGUU